AACUUGUUACAGAUCACACACAUGCACAGGUUGCAAAAACCAUUUAUGUUGGUACAUAUUUCACAAUUACAAUCAUCAGCUGGAAGUUGACUUUGGCAUGCUAUGUUUCUGCAUCUCUUGAAAACAAAGACCUCAAUAAGGGAUGUUUGAGAUAGACUAAUACUUGGAUGCAGAAAUGCUUGAAUUCCAGUAUUUAUUGCAACAAGGAUUUCAAGCUGCACCCUCUGUGCUCUAAUUAAUGUCUUAGCUGUCAAAUCAGAUCUAUUCUGAACAAGCUUCUGCAAAAUCAAAAA
Molecule: unclassified non-coding RNA, 293 nt
Filed under: Hevea brasiliensis (rubber tree)
Lineage: Eukaryota; Viridiplantae; Streptophyta; Magnoliopsida; Malpighiales; Euphorbiaceae
Source: RNAcentral